RNAcentral lists this transfer RNA (72 nucleotides) under Capra hircus (goat). It matches the Rfam family "tRNA". Rfam says of the family: Transfer RNA (tRNA) molecules are approximately 80 nucleotides in length. Their secondary structure includes four short double-helical elements and three loops (D, anti-codon, and T loops). Lineage: Eukaryota; Metazoa; Chordata; Mammalia; Artiodactyla; Bovidae. The record is from Rfam by way of RNAcentral. RNAcentral also lists the same sequence under 1 other name.
UCCCUGGUGGCUCAGAUGGUAAAGAAUCUGCCUGUGAUGCAGGAGACCCAGGUUUGAUCCCUGGGUUGGGAA